UACGGAGGGUGCAAACGUUGUUCGGAUUUACUGGGCGUAAAGCGCGUGUAGGCGGCUUUGCAAGUCGGAUGUGAAAGCCCACGGCUCAACCGUGGAAGUGCAUCCGAAACUGCAUGGCUUGAGUCUCGGAGAGGAAGGUGGAAUGCUUGGUGUAGAGGUGAAAUUCGUAGAUAUCAAGCAGAACACCUGCGGCGAAGGCGGCCCUCUGGACGAUGACUGACGCUGAGACGCGAAAGCGUGGGGAGCAAACAGG
This 253-nucleotide ribosomal RNA is filed under the name uncultured bacterium. RNAcentral describes it as "partial 16S ribosomal RNA". It matches the Rfam family "Bacterial small subunit ribosomal RNA", at positions 524 to 776 of the family's 1533-position model. The record is from RNAcentral.